RNAcentral lists this long non-coding RNA (261 nucleotides) under Panicum hallii. RNAcentral describes it as "long non-coding RNA (PHAL_LNC000160)". Lineage: Eukaryota; Viridiplantae; Streptophyta; Magnoliopsida; Poales; Poaceae. The record is from RNAcentral.
CAAGAGAGGUAUGAAGUUUCAAAUUUAGAGAAAAGAUUACAAACCAUUAAAGCUAUGGUUUUUAGCAGCGGAAAACAUACGCGACGAUUACAACACGUCAUUAAGACGGAUGUCAUGCUAAGCCCAGGCACGACAUCACUCGGUAUCACCAAUGUUGGUCAGGGACGGAUCCCAUUCCACGGACCAAUCUUCUGGAAGAGCACAGGGCUAUGACAAGGAAAGAGUAGGGUCUUCAAGGGCUUUACCUGAAAAACAUAAAAC